This 216-nucleotide ribosomal RNA is filed under the name Glomeromycotina sp. RNAcentral's name for it is "partial small subunit ribosomal RNA". The stretch from base 40 to 216 matches the Rfam family "Eukaryotic small subunit ribosomal RNA", at positions 686 to 864 of the family's 1831-position model. Lineage: Eukaryota; Fungi; Glomeromycota. The record is from RNAcentral.
GGGUCAGUAGGUUGGUCGUGCCACCGGUACGUACUGGUCUCACUGAUUCCUCCUUCCUGAAGAACCGUAAUGCCAUUAAUUUGGUGUUGCGGGGAAACAGGACUGCUACAUUGAAAAAAUUAGAGUGUUUAAAGCAAGCUAACGCUUGAAUACAUUAGCAUGGAAUAAUGAAAUAGGACGAUCGAUCCUAUUUUGUUGGUUUCUAGGAUUGACGUA